ACAAAGAGCCCUCUGCACUAGCGCCGCAGGACCGCGGACCCGAGUUGGAGGCAUCUGUCCACCCAUGUGGUUCCAGACACGUUCAUGUGGCCACCAUGACCCCGUCGGCAUCACAGGGGUAACCAAGGUCCACAGAACGAGGGGAAAGGGUCACUGUGGAUCAAGCCAGGCUCCUCUGAGCAGUCCAGGGUCUAUUUACAGAGAGCAGCAAGUUCCUGGGACAGAGGAGACAGAAGGGAAUUUCCAGGUUCUUCAGGACGUUCACAACCACACUGAGAAGCAUCUUUGCAGAUAAGUAUUUAAACUUACCAGCCCAUAGCCUACCAGCCUGCCCUCUUCUGGUCUGUGCAGGAAAGUGUAGUAUCCUAGAAUGCCAAAGUGGGAGGGGAAAUGGGUGAUGUAGCUCAUUCUCUUUUCUACCUCUAUGGAAGAAAGAAAGAGCCUGUCCCCAUUUUGUGGGGUCCCAGAAAGGGUGAUUUUCACACUUCACAUUUGGCGUUAGGGCUAGUAUUUCACAAACAUUACCGUCUGGAACUUUUGAAGGCUGAGUUAAAUGACUUCAUCUUGUGUACUUGUAGAACUGCUAUUAGAAGGAGGCUGGGGACUCCCUGAUGAUGUGAACCAGCCCUUCUCUUCUCAGUUUCAGCACUUUGUGAUCAUAUUUAUAAACCUUGGACAGGGCUCCUUGGCCUUAGAGUUAAGUGAAGAGUUAACACUGUGACUUUAGAUGCAUUUUUCUCAGUGUAAGUGUCUGAGCUCAUCUCCAGUUCUGGACUCGUGCCCCCACUCCCGGGUGCUGACAGCAAGCUCUGAAGAUAUGCUGAGAGAGCUCCCUGACUCUCCUGACUCAGGUCUGCCAGUUGAUGAAGACAGCACAGUUGUUACCAAAAACAAAACCUGGCAGAUGGUCCUAGGUCAGGAUUAGUGGUCAUUCUCUGGUCUUCUCCAGACUGGUGACACAGGGUGGUCUUAAAAGAGUCCUAGUCCAGCCUCUGGCUCCCCGAAUUUCCUCUGGUGCAUGGGGCAUCAGGAAAGGGCAGGGGAGAAGGAGGGGGAGCAGAAAAAUAACUGAGGCUGGGCAGAAGGGUCCCUUCCAUUUCCCAUCCAUUGCUUCAAACAAUGGGUGAUUACCGUGCACCUUGAGUGAAUGUCAAGGCAGGAAGGGUUCCAGGGCCACCCAGUGUGGCAGGAGCAGAGCUGGGAUCAGAAUUCUGGAUUCCUGACUCUCCGUUCAGCUGCUAUUCAGCUAUCACCAAGCUGCUGAGUUUGUCCUACUUUCUCCUGGGUCACAUUCUGCUGUUGUUGGGAAACAGGGAGUGAGUGAAGGGAACCUGGGAACCCUUCUCCCCUCACCUUUUAAGGAUGUUCUGGGGUGGAAUAAAGAGAGGUGGAGGGUGGGGUGCCUGGGCCCAGCCUCCCUGGCUCCUGGUCCUUCUUUCUUCAGCAGGGAGUUCUGGCAAGGCCUGGGCCUGGGGAGGGGGCCUGGGUGCAGUUUUCUCCUGCGGUGUGGUUGGCUCUUUUGUCUUCCAGGAUGGGCCUGUGGGGUCUGUGUGGGGAAGGAAGGAGCUGGGAGCCUGGGCUGCCUGUGUGUCGGCUGGAUGCUGCCAGCACCGGCAUGGACCAAGCAACUUCUCUGAGCCAGAUGCUGGGGACGCAGAGGUGAACCCAGAGACAUGAUCCCAUCUGCUCAGAUCUUCAUGUCAGAACACGCUUUAUUACAGUCUCGGCAAGGGGGUGGCUCCAUCUGGGCCGCAUCUCCAGGACUCCUGGCCUGGACUUCUCUUUGGACCUCGGGUGACCUUGGAUUCUGGCCACAGUGACUUAGCGGUCAGACUCCGGUGGUUUUCUAGCCCGCUGGGUGACUCCCUGAAGAUCUCAUCCUCUUCACACCUGUUGGGAUGGAGCCUCCCAUGGAUAGGAACUCUUCCUGGUUGAUGCUCAGCAGAUGACUGAUCUGGCUCUGGAGGACAGCUCCAGGGGUAUGAGGGAGGCCUGGCAGCCCACUACUCCCUCCUCACCUGCUCGGGCCCUGCCUGCUGGGCCCUAUUGUCUGGGUCUGGGGGCCCUUUCCUGCCCCAUGUGAACUUGAUUCCUCCUCGCGUUUCUGCCGGUGACCAGACAGAGCCUGGCCUGGGCCAAGUCCCCACUGACCACACUUUCCCCAAGGCUGGGUCUCAAAGGACCCUACAGGAUGGGGACAGGAACAAGGAUGGGAGUCGGGGAGGGGCUGUCAGGCAGAGGGCAGAUGCAGCUCCUCGGGUGCCGCUGGCUGGAGUCCUUUGUCUCCAUUUGCUCAGUGCGUAAUUGUCAUUUUGUGGGGGACUUCCUUGGUGGGGCUUUUCCAUGCUUUUCCUCUCCCUGAUGGUUACAAAGAGGAGACAGUCAGGAUCUGGGAGGAGCUGGAGCCUUCCCCCUGUGCUGUUGAACUCUGGGAGGGGCAGCCAGAGGGGCUGAGAGUGCACCAUCCUGAAAAGAGAGGGUCUUUAAGAGAUAAGAUUUAGGCUAGGGAAAUUCACUAGAAAGAGACAGGUGGCCCUGGGUUUUUUUUCCUGCCAUCCAAAGGGAACCAGUCUUACCCAAAGGCUUAAGGGGUCACCUUAGCCCAGUCUCAGGACACUCUUCUCCAAUCAGAUCGCUGCUUCUAGUUGCACUGCUCCUGGAUUCUGUUCUUGGGGAACAGAAGGUGGCAGGACAGGCCCCACAAUCUGCAAUUCCAGCUCCCUCCAGAGGAGACAGUCCCAGCGUUUGCAAGAGAGCAGCUUGUGGCCUCCCUUAGGCAAGUUUAAAAGCCAGAUGUCCUUUUUCCCAGAAUGCGGAGUGGUGUGUACUAUUCAUCAGCUUGGGCUGCCACAGCACCAUGCCAGACUGGAUGGCUUAAACAUCAGGAAUUUAUUUUCUGCCAGUUCUGGAGGCUGGAAAGUCCAGAUCAAGGUGUUAAGACUUGGUUUCUGGUGAGGCCUCUCUCCUUGGCUUGCAGGUGGCACCUUCUCACUAUGUCCUCACAUGGCCUUUUCUCUGUGGAGAGGGACAGAGAGCAUGAGCAGGCUCUGGUGUCUCCUCCUCUUCUUAUAAAGACACUAAUAUCACCAUAUUAGGGCUUAAACCUAUGACCUCAUUUAACCUUAACCCCUUAAAGGUCCCAUCUCCAAAAACAGUCACAUAGCAGGCUACUGCUUCAACAUAUGCAUUUGGGGGAGGGGACACCAUUCAGUUCUUAACAGGGUGGUCACCGCAAACAUGGAAAGUCAGAGCCUUCUCCCCUUCAGAAUUCCCGCCCCCACCCAGGGAUGGGGAGGAGGAGCAGAGAGGUAUGGGAAGCAGACACGGAGAGUGGCAGGUACCAUGCUGGGGUGGCUCAGGAGUGCUUCGGAGGACAUAUGGAACUGGCAGGGCUCAGUGCAGGGAGGCGGAGGCCCUGGGAGAGCCGUGUCCUGAGAAGGGCCUGGGCUACAACCCUGGGCAAGUUACUUCACCUCUGAGCCUCCGAUGCUCUGUGAAAUGGAAGGAAUGUGCUUGCCUGUCAGGUGCAGGGAGAAUUCAGUGAGAUUGUGUGCCUAGCACAGUGCCUGACUCCCAGUAGGUGCUCAGCAAAUGCUCCCAUCCAUCUGGGAGUAUAGACUUAGGGUUUAUCUAUUUUUUUUUUUUUUUGGCUCUCUGGACUUUAAAACUCAGCAUCUUCUGAACCAGAGGCAUUUCUGAUUAGCCCUUCCCUACCUAUUUUCCUAGUAUCACUCUUUAAUCAGCUUGGGGAGGUGGCAGCAUUUCAUGGCCUCCGUAGUAACUCACAAUGCUUCCUGGGGUAUUUAAAUUCUACUCUCUCAUCAGCACUGAGCACCUACUUUGGGCCCUUUCCCGUGCUAGCCAUUUGGGGGAAAUAUAGGUGAAGAGUGGCUGGGGUUUGAACCUUUAGGAUUUCACAGCCAUGCUGGAUGGGAUAAAACCAGCUCACAUGGAGAAUCAGAGAAUGGGACAGUGCCACAAAACAGUCUACUGAGGCACAAGUUCUGAGUGCCUGGGAAGUGGUAGAGAGACCCCAGAGAGGGCUGCUGCAGUCUGGAACAGCUUCCUAGCAAGCUGUACCAAACAGGGCCUUGAAGGAUGAGAAAGAUCUGGCUGAGAUGAUACCCGACCCUCUAGGGAAAUUCUUAAAGUAACUUCUAGGAAAUGUCAUUGCUCCUUAAAAAAAAAAAAAAAAAAAAAAAAGCAGGUUCUAAUUCAAAUUCCGCUGCACUACUGAAGUAGUGCAGGACUUAUCAGAACCUUUAAAAUGCUAAUGGCAAUUUCAAAUACUCAGGGACAGGGCAUAGGAUGAAGUGUUCCUUGACUUUUAUGGCCGUAGAAUCUUUUUCUCAUGGAACAUCGUUUAGAACUGUGGGAGAUGCUAGGCUGGGGUUUCUAUGGGAAAAGUACAGCAGUGAUAGAAGAUGGCAUAAUUAGGGUACACUUAGGUGCUUUGUAGCAUUGGCUGAAAAGGAAGCAGACCGGGUGGGCGUGGGGGAGUCUCAACUUGGUUCCAGGAGCCAGGCCAGCUUGAUGCGUUUUUUUUUUUUCUAAUGGUGGGAGGGCAGGCCAAUAGUUGGAGAAACUAGAGGCCUGACAGUCGGUGAUGGAAGAGAUGUCUACUAAGCACGGUUGUCAGAUCUUUUGCGGAGAGAUGCGGGUGUGCGUGUGUCUGUCAGAGUGUAACAGGAUCCAGCCCUCUGGGAAGGGGCUGACCAGAACCAGGCAGGGGGUUUCUGUCUAGGACAAGUAGGGUCCAUUUUCAGGGGAGCUGAAAUAUUUGCAGGGGGUGCUCUGAGACCCACAGCCAAUAAAUAGGGAAGCAACAUGCUUUUGGGCAGGGUCCAUGUGGUUAGGGUUGAUUUUGAUGGGGCUGGGGGGCUUAGAGUUAGACCCCCUGCCCUGGUCAGGCCCCACUCCCUGGCUGGUGGGGGCGGGAGGCCUCUGAAGCUGCAGCUGGAGGGGCCGGGGCAGUGUUGCAUGGUGUGAUUAACCUACUAACCCAGGGCUCAGCCGGGACGCUGUGGCGUGUGACGAGGUGCCUGGCCUUCUGCCAACCAACUAACCCACUAACCAGGCCCGAGCAUGCCCUACUAACCACCCCCCCGCAGCCAGAUCCUACUAACUGUGCAGCUCAUGGGCCUUUCAAGGGGCUGGGAUAUGGGGGCAGCCAAGGCUCCAGAAGGCUCUGCCUAUGGGCUGGGAUCUUUGUGCAGACCCACGUUCCAGGACAGAGAAUGCAAAUAAGACUCACCAACUCUGCCACUUCCUGUUGAGUGAGUUUGAGUAAGUCACCUCACUUCUCUCAACCUCAGUUUCCUCAGUGGUAGAAUGCGAGUUCUGAUACCUUACAGGUUGCAGUGAGGAUUCCCGUCAAUAUAAGGGUCUCAGCACAUGGCAGACACCUAAAAAAAAAAAAAGUAUGAGGAUGGAGGAAGGCCCCUCAAACCUGGUUGAACACGUCUGCUGCCUAGGCCCUGGCCUCUCUGGGUGUUCUGCACACAGAUCCUUCUGCCUGGGGCAAGACACUUGGCUUUGAAUCCAUGUCACUUCCCCACAUUCUUCCUCCGUCUCAGCUUUCUUUUCUGUAGGCAGCUCUUUUGUUCGAUUACUAACCCGUCUAACCCCUGGGGUGCCUCAACUGCACCCCGAUCAUCCCUUAACAAACUAACGGACCUGCGUGCGUUCUUCCUUUUCUCUUAGCGACUCCUGUGUGUGUCUGCUGAGGUGCCCUGUCCGCUGGUGCUGUGCUCUGACUUACUAACCCAGCCCCUACUAACCCUGUUUUCUCUUCUUACUAACCCCAGCCCUGCCGAGCUCUGGGCUCCCCCCGGGGGCUGGUCCCCCUCCUUUUGGCAAGCAGAUGACCUGGGGCUACUGGCCCUGUAGACAGAUGUCCCACUUUGCUGCCCCAUAUUGGCUGUAAGAUCAGAGUCCACUGGGCCAGGUCUAAGGCAGGGGAUGGCCCUAUUAACAAGACUCAGAGGAGGAAGAGGUGGUCCUGUGGAUGUGGGAGGCUGGACUCUGAGUAUGACAUCUCUCCUAUGUGCAGAAGUCUGGUUGCCACUGGGAGUAGGUGGGACCAGGGAAAUCUCUGGGACGUGAGUGUGGAGGCCUGUUGGUCUAGACUCUAGACUGUGGAGCUCUGAGCUUUUGUGUCCUCUGGAAGGAAGCUGGGGAAGAAUCCUCUCCAUUGUUAAGUGACGGGGAUAGAAGCUGUCCUGCACAGGAAGUCACGAGGGGGGCGUAUCCCACGAGGAAGGCAGGAGGGGGCGUGCCCCUCACCGGAAAUUAGCAGAGGGGCGUGUCCCACACCGGAAGUCAGAAAGCGGAGCCUUUCUUACACCGGAAGUCAAUGAAGCGGGUCUUUCCUACGCUAAAAACCACUGAGUGGAGUAUUUAGUACACAGGAAGUCGGCCAGAGAAACAUUUCUCAUAUUUGAAGGCCGGAAAGAGGGACAUUUCUGACACCGGAAGUCAGUGAGAGGACUCUUUCCCACACAGGAAGUCAGCUAGAGAGCCGUCUCCCCUCUCUGGAGCCGAGAGAGGCCGGUUUCCCCCACCAUAGCAGGGCUGGGAGAAAGGGAUGGGGAGAGUCCCUCCUGCCACUGACCCAGGAUGGAUAAAAGUACCCCUUUCAUAGAAGGAAGAAAAUGGGAACAAAGGUGCUGCUGAUCAUCUGAGGUUGCCUGCAUGGCAGUGAAGAACAUGGACCUUUGGGUCUCACAUGAGUACUUCACAAUGGGGAAACUGAACUGGAACUCUACUGACAACGCAGUUGGGAGUUCAAACUUAAUAACCUUCCAGAGUUGGUAUCAAAUUCAGACGCUGACGCUCCUUGGAGAGGUUCUUUGCUGCAAGAGGAUGGAAAGGAUCACUGUGAUUUUGUUUUUCUCCUGCUGCUCUGUCUGGAAGCCAUGUGAGGAGGACAUCUGAGCAGCCCUGUGGAGAGGCCCCCAGCCAACAGCCAGCAUGAACUUGCUGGGCAUGUGAGUGCACCACCUUGAAAGUAGAGCCUCAACCCCUGGUCAAGCCAUCAGGGAGAGCUCAAGCUGGCCUGUUGGAAGAUGACAGGCCAUAUGCAACAGACGUGAAGUGUCCCAGCUGAUCCCCUUCCAGAACACCCACCUUCCAGAUGACCACAGAUGCAAGGGUGAGCCAGCCAAUAGCUGCUGAGACAUUCCCAGAAAGACAGAACAUCCAGCUGACCCAUGGACUCAUGGGCGAUCAUGGAUAAAUGGAUAUUGUUUCAAGCUACUAGGUUUGGGGUUGGUUUGUUACGCAGCAAUAGCUAACAGCUACACCUCUAUUUUAAGGAGUUGUGAAGAUAAAUUGCAAAGGUACAGAAAAAUGAAUAGCUAUAACAGCUACUAGUGAUUGAGUGCUGGCUCUGCCUGGUACUGUGCUCAGGAUUGGCAUGCAUUAUCUCAAAGAGUUGCACAGGCUAGAAGGGCUGCAGCUGAAGAUUCUAGAAGAGUUCAGGUAUAAUGCCUGGCACAUGGUACCUGUUUCAUGUAUGCUAGUUGUUGGAUGCUGCUGAUGCUGGCAGCACGUGGAACUCCUGACACAUGCCUCUGAUUUGGUAGUGGGGUCUGAACUUUGUAAUCUGUGUGUCCAGAGACCUUGGGAAGUCUUCAGCCAAGGGCAGACCAGGAGGUAGCUUUUGUGAUCUGAGUGCAGAGAAGUUUCUUAGAGUGAAUGGCAUCCAGAUAGGGUGGGGAAAAAGCAUUAGCCAGGGUGCUCCACACACUCCCCUCACUAGUGUGGUCCCUGGACCAGCAGCCUCAGCCUCCCCUGGGCCCUUAUUAGAAAUGCAGAAUCUCAGGUCCUACCCCUGCUUACUGAAUCAGUAAGAGCAUUUUAACAAGAUCCCCAGGGGAUUUGUGUGCAUGUUAGAGUUUGUCCAGAACACUCUUCUCAAGCUAUCUGUGCUGAGACACCAGUAUUUUUUUCAAAUUCCAAUUUAUUGCAGAAUGACAGUUUUAAAAAAUGCAGUAAAAAAGCAAAUUCCUAGAAAAAUUAAAUGAAAAAUAAAAUAUACAAAAUCUAAGCCCUUUUUUCAUUAUUAUAUUCAAUGAUACAAAAUUGCCAUCUGCCAAAUUGCUACAAAACUUUCUGAAUACUUUUCUUUCUCUGUACGUAUUCUUUGUGGGUACCUUACUGUGGACAGGUAACAAACGACUUGCCAUGUGGCAUGGGCUAUGGACUGCCCGACAAGUAGCACCAUCUUAGAGUUACCAAUGAUAAUGAUACUAAUACAAUAUGACCACACAUGAUUGUGUGCUUGAUAUCAGCUCAUAAUAAGGGCUUACAAGCUUAAAUACCUGGAAAUCCUCUCAGCAAACUGUGGGGCAACUAAUGUAUUUAUCUCCAUUUUGUAGAUUAGGUCAUCGAGGCCCAGAGAGGUUAAGCAACUUGCCCAUGGUCACACAGCAUACAAGUGGAGCACCCUGAGCCCACCUGUUUGACCACUACAAGGCAGAGGGAGGGAGAGGAAGGCACCACCAGUGAGAGGCACAAGGACAUUGUCCAUUGUCUCUUGUACCCUAUGUGAGUGACAGCUGUCAAAAAACCAGGUGUGGGGCCCUGGCUGUCUCUGUAACCGCAUUGCAGUGGAGGCUGGAGCCCAGCAAACUCUUUACCAGCCCCAGGCUAGGGCUAGGAGGAUCACCCUCGCACCUCACUCUUUGGUGCAGCCUGCAGGAAAGGAAGCCCUCUGUGAAGUGUAUCACCCCAGCCUGCCGCGUUGCCAGAGGUGAGGGGAAAAGGGCGCCUGCCGAUCGCCUUCUCCCUCUUGCUAUCUCUUUUUCCUGAAGUCAUAGGAGCCAGGCAGGAGGCUGGGGGUCUGGCAGGCUGGGUGAUAGCUAGUUAUCGACAGGUUGAUGGCUGCCCCAGAAGACUGCCCGAGGACAUCAAGGCGGAAGCCACUUCUGAGGCCCGCUGCUCCCAGAGAGCCGGCUGCCGGCAUCUCUGCCCAGGGCUUGGCGCUUCCCCUCACCAUCUCAUUAAUCCUGAUUCACAGAAAAAGGCAGCAGGCAGGGGCCCUCUUAACAGGCCGAGCGGGCGACUGAUUUGCCUUCACUGAAGACAAUAGUGCCCAGGAGACCCGGCAUUGCUGAAUUAUUCAAAUCAGCCGUGGCAGGGAAAUCUGAGGACACAGAGUGGCUGACAUCCCCCGGCCCUUGCAAGCUGCCCUCCUUCCCUGCCCUGGGGUGCUGGUACCUGGCAGCCUGGGGUGGCCAGCACAGAUCCCCUUGCCAGAGAUGAGGGCUGCUCCCGACCUUCCCUCCUCCGUGGAUGGAAGUUGAAAUUGGUGUUGAUCAUCUCUAAGCACCUUGGAGCUCUAGUAAUGGAUCCAAAAUGACAUUUCCCACCUGCUGAUCCCUGGAGGGACAUUCUGACAAGGACUUCUGGAUGAACAAGUGAUGGGGCAUGGGAAGAUGAAGGCAGCAGGAGAUGGCUGUUCUGCCAAGGUGUGUGUGUGUGUGCGUGUGUGUGUGCAUGAUUCAAAAAAAGCAGAGGAUAUCGGUUGAACCCUGGCUUGGCCAACCUUAGUUUUCUGCUCCUAGAAAAGAAACACAAUGAAUAGGCAGGUAUCCCUGGCAAAUGUGGAGAUUCAGGAGCAAAACCACCCAGAGUCGGUGCUGACGCUGGGUGAAGACAGAGCAAACAGAAGUUUGAGAGGUCACGUGCAACAGACGUGAGCCCAGCAUGGUGGUCUCCCAGUGGGGAGGGAGUCUUGGAGAGUAUGAAGGGUAAACUGAGACCCAGAGAGGGGCAGGGACUUGCCCAAAGUUGUUAAGCAGUUUGUGGCCAAAAUGGAAUGAAAAGCCAUGGUGUUCAGCUUGCAGUUGGAGGCUCUCUUUGUUAAUAAUACCUAUCCCUGCCCAAGCACAGACACCUGAAGGCUUUUUAAUAUAUUUCAUUGCUAACUGUAUGAUAAUCUCAUGAGGCUGAUACAACUAAUAUUCCCAUUCUACUAAUGAGGAAAUUGAGGCUUGCAGAGAUUCAGCCACUGGACAGGGUAGAAAGUGACAAUCUGGGAUUGGAAAGGUGGUCUGUCUUAUGCUGAACCCUUAAUUGCUGUGACUCAGUGGGAGGUCAGAGGCACCAGGACUCCAGAUCGCUCCAAAACAUCCCUCCUGGCCAAGGCUAUAGUGUCAGCAUGACCUCAGUUUGUGAUGGCUUCCUGGGGGUAAGCAUUGCCACUUACUUGUGUCCUCCAUGGGAAGGAGCACACAGAGUUUUAGCCCUUCGCAGAAAGACUGACUUCAAAGCACCCUCAGCCAUCCCAGGCAUCUGAAAGGAGACCCCUGAGGAGGGGACCUCGAAUGUUGGAAGGAAAUUUAUGAAUGAAGAGGUUCGGAAUCUCUGGGCACAAGAUCCACCUCUUUGGGGGAAGCCAGUGGCGUCUUCUGUGUAAAGCUGCCAUUGGCAGGACAACUUUCUCUAGGAGAGGCAGAAGCUGGGGGUGGUGGUGGGGUUAAACCAACCUUGCACAUUGGUGGGAGGGGGCAUGGGGUCAGUGUGUGAAUAACAGCCUCUGCUUUUCUGCAUCAGCCAAACAACAAUAGAGUGGGAAUGGCAACCUGUAUUGAGGGUUCACCAUGUGCUAAGCCCUUUCUUUAUGUGUAGAAGCUCAUUUAGUCCUCAAGACCAUUUUAUGGGGUCAGUAUCUAUGAGGUCAGCAUCGUUAUGUCCUUUUUGCAAAGGAAGAAAAUGAGACGCAGAAAAGAAGACAUUUAAGCCAUUUACCCAGGACGCUGCUGCUGGGGUGAGUGUAAAGGAGCUGGGAUUUGAAAUCCAGGCUUCAUAAACCACGUGGCCUCUAGGAUAUUGUGGCUAGGAUUCCCUUCUCUGUUCAACUUGAAGUCCCUCUCGGCAGAGUGGUGUCCUUUUUCUCUGCCCAUAGUGGCCCAUUCCCGGGGUUGUGAUCCAUGCACGGGCAUCCCCAGAAGGAGGCUUAGAAGCUCCUUGAAGCAGCUUAAAUGCACCUUUGCCGUUGUGCCUCUACAUGCCCUCUUCCUUUUCUGAGAACAACCAACUUCCUCAGGCCUUCGAAUCAUCUCUCAUUUGGAAUAAUCACUGUCUGAAUGGACGAGGUCUCCAGCAUUUGUGUGGUGCGGCGCGGGCCUCCCAGGAUCCUCCCUGCAGAAAAACGAAACGAAGAGAGAUUUAUCUCCUGGGUCAGAUAAAGGUGACUAAAUGCAAACUGGCCGAUUCCUUUCGGCAAACAGUUCCCUGGGGAGGGCUCCUACAAGGAGGAGAAGAGCCAAUCGAUCCCGGAAAUGCUUCGAGGUGACUUACAGGGAAGACUUAAAGGAAAAAGCCCUCGUGUCUUUACAGCCUCCGGCGACUCUUUCAGCCUUGUAAAACUGCCCGUACCAGCCCAUAGAGCGAGGAAGGAGGGGGUCGGGGGAGCUUCUUCCUUACCAUUGCUGCAAAGGUGGAACUCUGCAAAAUUUGACCUCUGAGAUCUCUAGCUGAGUCCUUCAUUCAUCUGUCAAGCAUCUAUUGAGUGCCUACUGUGUGCCUGCUGUGCACUUCGUAUGCUCUAUCCUGCUGAGUCCUCCAGAUGACACCAUCAUUACCCCCAUUUUCUAGCAGAGAAACUGAGGGUAUCUGAAGGGAGGCAAACGUUUCUGGAGUCCUAAAGCAAGCAAGAGGGUAGGUCCUGAGAUACGGAUUUGCAUUCACCAGCCUCCCUGGUUUGGUUUCCUUCCUGCAUCACUCCCUCUGUCAUCAGAUCUGGUUCUCACCCAGCUUCAUCUCCAAGUCUGGCUCAGGCUUGUUCUUCUCUAUCUCUCUUCCUUUCUCCUUUCUGCUCUUAGACUCAUAAGAAACCUUCCUUAUAAUCUGAGGAAACAGCCUGUGCAUCUUGGAGACUGAGUUUCUUUUGGGAUCCCCAGGUUCACACCAGCCUUUUCUCCCAUAGUCAUCCCGCCCUCAUUUCAUUAAGGUACCAGUAGCACCAGCUGGGAAGGGUAACUUGGCUUGCGGUCUGCAAACUUAUUCUGGCCCUGCAAAAGGCCAAAUAGUAAAUACUUUAAGUUUUGUGGUGCAUUGCGCUAUUGGGGUGCCAAGACAAUAUGUAAAUGAAUGGGCAUAGCUGUGUUCCAAUAAAACUUUAUUUACAAACACAGGUGGUUGGCGAGAUUUGGCCCAUAGGUUGUCAUUUGUUGAUCCUUGGGAUAGAGGAUAAAAGAUCUGGUUUUGGGGUUUGCAGACCUGAGGUCUCCCCGCAGCCCACUUUUUUUUUUUUUUUACUUCCUUGCUGUGUUACCUUGGGCAAGUUGGUGCAGCUCUCUGAGCCCCGUUUCUUUUCUGUGGAAUGAGAUAAUUAUAGCACCUGCCGCCUGGGCUUUUGCUAAGUUUAAAUGAAACCAUGCAGUGGAUUGCACAUAGUCAGUGAGCAAACUGGUAGCUGUUAUUUUAUGACGAAUGACUUUAAACCUUCUGAGGAAAGCAACCCCCCUUCCCUCAUUUGGGGGUAAGGGAAGCUGAUGUGCCAGUGUUCUGAUAUUUUGUGGUUCAUUAUGCUGUUAAGAUUUCCAUUCUUUUCAAGUUAAUGCACUUGCAUUUUAAUGACUUAGGAUGCAGAAUCUGCCUCCUUUGGGAUGGAACCAGCUGGCUGGCCUUUUGUGAGGGUGAUAGUUGGUAAAACUCUGGACACCCCCAUGAUCCCUUUGAGUCUAACCUCUGGUUCCCUUUCCUGGCUCCAGAAGGACUGACUCAGUGGGUCUAGCAUGACCACCAGUGAUCCUCUGGUUGAGAGCUGAUCACAAGUGGCCAAUUAAUCUAUUACUUGCAGAUACAUUUUCCAUUAGCAGUGGCGGAAUCAAUUAGUCAGCGUAAUGAACUUGAGUCUGGGCAAACAGGAAGGAGAGGUUAACCCCUUGGUUUCCAAAGGAGGCUGGGAUGGCAAGGGAGCGUGGAGAAGAUCUGGAGAGAAAUCGAGAGGCUGGAUAGGGACAGAGGUUUGGGAACCACAGUCAAGCUUCCAGGUAGUAAGAUGAGGUAGGUUGGACCCAAAGAGCUCUAGCUUAGAGCCAGGAAAAAAUGGCUUCUCUAGUCAUGUGGACAUGACAGAGUCAUUUUGAGCUCAGUUUCCUCCUCUGCAAAUGGGGAUCAUAAUUGUACACACCUCAUAGGAUUGUUGUGAGGAACAAAUAAGACAAGUUGUAUGAAAUACAUAGCCCCAUGUUGGGAGCGGAAAUUCUCAGUGAAUGCUAAUCUUUCUGCUACCCCUUUUUUUCUGCCUCACCACAAGCCACGAAGAGGUGAAAAAGAGACUUCUUGACUUAGAGCUAAAAAUAGCAGAAACUUCUUACUAAAAUUACUCUAGCUCAGAUCCACAUUCAAA
RNAcentral lists this long non-coding RNA (13363 nucleotides) under Homo sapiens (human). Its description in RNAcentral is "HSALNT0405346". The stretch from base 4979 to 5127 matches the Rfam family "Myocardial infarction associated transcript exon 5 conserved region 1". The record is from RNAcentral. Lineage: Eukaryota; Metazoa; Chordata; Mammalia; Primates; Hominidae.